AGGAUGAACGCUGGCGGUCUGCUUAACACAUGCAAGUCGAACGGAGUAGCAAUACUUAGUGGCGGACGGGUGAGUAACGCGUGAGAAUCUACCUUCAGGACGGAGACAACAGUUGGAAACGACUGCUAACCCCCGAUGUACCGAAAGGGCAAAUAUUUAUAGCCUGAAGAAGAGCUCGCGUCCGAUUAGCUAGUUGGAGAGGUAAAAGCUCACCAAGGCGACGAUCGGUAGCUGGUCUGAGAGGACGAUCAGCCACACUGGGACUGAGACACGGCCCAGACUCCUACGGGAGGCAGCAGUGGGAAUUUCGCAAUGGGCGAAAGCCUGACGGAGCAAGACCGCGUGGGGGAAGAAGGCUCUUGGGUUGUAAACCCCUUUUCUCUGGGAAGAACGCAAUGACGGUACCAGAGGAAUCAGCAUCGGCUAACUCCGUGCCAGCAGCCGC
RNAcentral lists this ribosomal RNA (445 nucleotides) under uncultured bacterium. RNAcentral describes it as "SSU rRNA". It matches the Rfam family "Bacterial small subunit ribosomal RNA", at positions 26 to 518 of the family's 1533-position model. The record is from RNAcentral.